This 324-nucleotide ribosomal RNA is filed under the name uncultured eukaryote. RNAcentral's name for it is "partial 18S ribosomal RNA". It matches the Rfam family "Eukaryotic small subunit ribosomal RNA", at positions 1470 to 1796 of the family's 1831-position model. The record is from RNAcentral.
CCCUUAGGUGUUCUGGGCCGCACGCGCGCUACACUGAUGCAUUCAACGAGCUUCUUCCUGGUCCGAGAGGAAUGGGUAACCUUUUGAAAGUGCAUCGUGAUAGGGAUAGACUAUUGCAAUUAUUGGUCUUCAACGAGGAAUUCCUAGUAGACGUAGUUCAUCAGACUGCAUCGAUUACGUCCCUGCCCUUUGUACACACCGCCCGUCGCUCCUACCGAUUGAAUGCUCAGGUGAGCCAUUCGGACUUUCAUCAUGCUGGUUUCCAGUUUUGAUGAAGGAAAGUCUUGCGAACCUUAUCAUUUAGAGGAAGGAGAAGUCGUAACA